GCUGGAGGUAUCAGAAGUGCGAAUGCUGACAUAAGUAACGAUAAAGCGGGUGAAAAGCCCGCUCGCCGGAAGACCAAGGGUUCCUGUCCAACGUUAAUCGGGGCAGGGUGAGUCGACCCCUAAGGCGAGGCCGAAAGGCGUAGUCGAUGGGAAACGGGUUAAUAUUCCCGUACUUGGUGUUACUGCGAAGGGGGGACGGAGAAGGCUAUGUUGGCCGGGCGACGGUUGUCCCGGUUUAAGCGUGUAGGCUGGUUUUCCAGGCAAAUCCGGAAAAUCAAGGCUGAGGCGUGACGACGAGGCACCACGGUGCUGAAGCAACAAAUGCCCUGCUUCCAGGAAAAGCCUCUAAGCAUCAGGUAACACGAAAUCGUACCCCAAACCGACACA
RNAcentral lists this ribosomal RNA (387 nucleotides) under Salmonella enterica subsp. indica. Its description in RNAcentral is "partial 23S ribosomal RNA". It matches the Rfam family "Bacterial large subunit ribosomal RNA", at positions 1272 to 1661 of the family's 2925-position model. The record is from RNAcentral. Lineage: Bacteria; Pseudomonadati; Pseudomonadota; Gammaproteobacteria; Enterobacterales; Enterobacteriaceae.